GAUCGAGUAGGCUAGGGCGGAAUUGCGUAACUGACAUUCACCCACAAUUCCUGGCAUUCUUCCGGUUUCCUUUAUCUGAUUCCUAAGAUGGCGGACCGGCGACGUCGAAGGAGGCGCGCAUCGCAGGACAGCGAGGAGGACGAUGAAUCUGGUUCGGGAUCAGAAAGUGGAAAGUCCCUUUCGCCAACGACAAAGCCCCGAGUACGGGACCCUGAACCAGUAGAGGCACCAGCUGUUCGUGUGGUGCCGGAAAACGCGGUUGAAUCCGAGUGUGAAAGUGAAGAUGGUGUAGGAGAAGCUGUCCUUUCUGACUAUGAAAGCGCAGAUCCUGAGGAGAAUGGCUCCCAUUCAGAGGGAGGUGAGGAGGAGGAAGAGGUCCCUCCACCGGCUGCUGGGCCCAAACCCACUCCUGCUUCCGACACCCCUGCUGCAGAGGGGGAGCUGAAGGAAGGAGGGGGAAAGGAUGAGGAGGGUGAGAAAAGUAUGAGGAAAGAAGUGAAGUGUGAAGACAAAGGCAACCUGGCAGGGGAGCGUCAAAGCGGGGAUGGACAGGAAAGCACAGAGGACUCUGAGAAUAAAGGCGCUAAACCAGGCCAGAAGCUGGAUGAUGACCAGGAUCGUAAUAACCCAGCCUAUAUCCCCCGUAAGGGAAUGUUCUUUGAGCACGACGUCAGAGGAAAUGCACAGGAGGAGGAACGGCCUAAGGGUCGUAACAGGAAGCUGUGGAAGGAUGAGGGUCGCUGGGAACACGAUAGGUUCAGGGAGGAGGAGCAGGCGCCCAAGUCACAUGAGGAGUUGGUUGCGAUCUAUGGCUAUGACAUCCGCAACGGAGGUGUCUCCAAUGAGCGGUCCUAUAGACAGCGCAAGCCCAGACACAGCACCUCUCCAGUCCGGGACAAGCGCUGGCAGGACGGAGACUGGGAGAGGCCUGUCCAUACCUCCUGGCAGCAAGGAGGGAACCCCAACAGCCGUAGCGCCCCCCCAGCCGUGGCCCUGCAGCAGUCUGGUCCUCCCCCCUCAGCAGCCCCAAACACCCAGCGCAGUAACAACCCCCCCAGGCCCUCCUCCCACCCCCCACCCCGGGGCUUCCAGGGCAACCGCCCUCCCCAGGCCCACCACAGGAAUGACCGAAACCAGGACUCCCAACGGCCAGGCCCCAAGGCCGAGCCCCUCCAGACUCGGAGUUUACCGCCCAUGGACGGGGAACAAGGCCCCAGGGGCCGGGGGAACAGAGGGGCCCAUACAGAGCGCAGCCCUUCGGUCGUGGUGGAAGAGGUCCGCAGCGAGGAGGAUGACGAGCGCAACACAACUACAGUGACAACGUCACAGUCCGUGUACUACAAUCGCCACUACAGUGGCAAGGGAGAUCGUGAAAGGGACUCUGCGCCACCGCCACGACGACAGGAGCAGCAGCGAGGGGGCUCUGCUCCUCCGGCAGACGACCAGGUUACCCGCGAUGUCUCCCCGGCUCCAGAGCGCCCCGUGGAGAAGAAGUCUUAUUCCCUAGCCAGGAGAACUCGCACCCGGGCCACUGAGCUGGGCAAGCAGGCCUCUCUUGAGGAGCCUGCCUCCACUGUCUCUUCCUCGGCCCUGAAGAGUGAGCCGUGGCAUGGCCCCGGUCAGAGUCAGGGGGAUGCUGGAGACAGCAGCCAGGGGACAGUACUCACAGGGUUGGACCAGGACUUGACCAGACUCAGCCUGGCCGGACCGAACUGGCCCCAGAACCCAUCUUCGUAUCUACGCGCUGAGAUGAGGGGCAUCCCUAGCUCUAUACACAUGGGUGGAGCACCUCCACAAUACAGUAACAUAGAAGAGCUGGGAGCUGGUAACCGGGCAAAGCGGUACUCGUCCCAGCGCCAGAGGCCAAGCCCGGAGCCCGCUCCUCCUAUGCACAUAGGGGUCAUGGAGGGCCACUACUAUGAGCCCAUGUCUUACCAAGGACCAAUCUAUUCCCACGGUGACAGCCCCGCCCCCCUCCCACCCCAGGGCAUUCUGGUCCAGCCUGAGAUGCACCUCCCCCACCCAGGACACCCAGGGGGCAAUGGCGUUCAAUCCACCCCAGUCAUGGCUGCCAGACGGCGCUCACCUUACUGCUGUCCCCCAUCCACUCAGCAAUGAUGGUAGGCUCUCCUGUGUGCCUCUUCUCCAUGCUCGGUGGUCAGCACAUGGAACUUAAUGUCCCGCUUCUCAUCAAUGUGAUGGCUCGUGGCAAUGAUGUAUGACCGCGUGUUCAGAUUGCAGAGAUAUCAUUGUACAAUUUCACUUUCUGGGGCUUCACGGUUUUUCUUGUAGUCUGGUUCUAGAUAUACCAUCAGGGCAUUGAAGCCGACAUCCUCUACCAUUGACAAUGGCUGCAUAUUAACUGCAAUAGUUUCUAUAAUCAGCGCUGUUCUCCAUCCCUUAUCGCACUUUUCUUGUGAAGAUCCUGUCUUUUGUUGGGGUCCUGUGCUGCUGCCAGCAAUGUUUCGAGUCUCGCGGUGCCUCCCUUUCAGAUAGUUGAGCAUUGUACCUGUACUGCCAUUGUAGCUCAAUUCCACUUUGCAAAGUUUUGCAUUUCACUACCUAAUUUAACCUCUAAUUAUUGCCGUAUGGGACUUUGCUGCUGUCGCUUCCCUGUCUCACUCUGACAUUUUCUCAACUGUUAGCAAUGAUGACGUGCGGCGGCGCGCUUUAUAUUCGUGGCAAAUAAUUUUGAAAGAUUCAUAUCUCCUAACGUUACAGCAUUGUUGCGUUGGGUAUGUUUAUUUUGUCCCAUUUAUGACUGGUGACCUUUUUUAAUGGUAGUUGUGUGAUGACUAACUGCACUGUGAUUUUAAUUGUGGGGGGGGGGGGACUGUUCUUCGGUGAACGAUUUUUUUCAAAAUGUUUACAAUCCCUGGCAAUCCCUUUAAUUUAAAUGGCCACUUCUAGUCCUGACCAGAAAUGCCGGUAUGGUGUUGGCUACUGUAUGGGUCUGUCUAGUCACACCCAUGAAUCCCUCCUGUCUCCCCUCAGGUCUACACCCCCACCAGUCGAGCGGCCCCAUGCCCAACCCGGCUCUCUACGCUGCUCCCCCUGUCUCCAUGUCCCCUGGACAGCCCCCUCCACAGCAGCUGUUGGCCCCGUCAUUCUACCCUCCGCCAGGUGUCAUGACCUUUGGGAACACCAACUACCCCUACCCGGCAGGAGCCACCCUGCCCCCCAUGUACAACCCCCCGGCCCAGUCGCAGGUGUACGGCCAGUCGCAGGUGUACGGUGGGGUGACGUACUACGACCCGAUGCAGCAGCAAGCCCAGCCCAAACCCUCGCCUCCCCGGCGUUCCUCCCAGCCCGUCACCGUCAAACCUCCCCCACCAGAGGUAGGGUACGGCCCGGAGUGAGCCCCAAACCCCAGCGACCCAACAACUGGACCGGAGUGGGAAGGCCAGUCAGGAGGUCAGAUCCUAGCACGAUGUUCCGAAUGACUACACCAGUCGGAAGAGAGCGAGGGACAGGGAGACUGGGUCUGCAAUAGAGGACCAGCACCACCUGUGGAGCGGAUGAUGAAUCGUUUUUAUCUGCCUUGUGUUCAGGUGCACCAUUGGUCGGUCGCCCACAAUGCUGAAUGGUUUUUCGCUGUUUUGGUUCACCUACCAGUGUUUUGCCUCUGAGUGGAGUGCUGUCUUAAAACCCCUAUAAAAUGUAACCAUAUAAAACCGUUAACGAAAGCCCUUGGUAAACAACUCCUCUUUAAACAUUACUUGACACCGAUGACGACAUUCGUAGAAUUUUGUUCCUUCUAACAAUCUGUCGUUCAACUGUAGGUAUAUUCAUGCAAAAAACGUGUUGUAAGCUCGAACAAAUGUUUAGGACUGGGUUAAAUGUGUCGUGAGUAUUAUGGAGAGUUAUAACUGGGAUAGGUAGUCAUUUUAUGUGGGCUAGCUAGAGCUGUGUUCAUCCCACCCACCAGACAGAUUCUACUCCAGUGUUUCCGGAACCCUCCAUAGCUAAAAAAAAAAAAAAAAAGUUUUUACAUUUACACUCCCCUACGUAUUUAUUUGGACAGUGAAGCAAAACUUUAAAUGUCUACUCCAGCGUUUUGGAUUUGAGGUCAAUGUUUCAUACGAGGCGGCAGUACAGAAUGUCGUCCUUCUGUUUAAUUUAAGGAUCUUUUAAUAAAUAUCUUUUUUUUUCUCUUUUUUUAAAAAUGAAAGCACUAUGUAUCUAGUCCAAUCAAAUGAAAUAUUUGAAUCUCAUCUAAAUGCUGGAGUAGAGACAAAUAAUACAAUUUUGCUUCACUGUCCAACUAAAUACGUGGAGGAGUGUCAUUUCAUCUCACAACGGCAUCGUAUGCCUUAGUUAUUAUUUUAUGGUUUUAAGUCUCGUUAACGCACUUUUUUUAGAUAAAGAAUAAAUCCUAUAUACAAAUGGUGCUAACCUAUAGCUAGUACCCUAGAAUUUCAAUAACUUGUUAUUUUCCAUUUCUCUUGAUACCUUCCACAUUGUACUGUUUUUGUUUGUUGUUUAAACGUAUUACUGUAUUACCAGAGAACCAUUUAACUUUGCCUGAAACUGAUGUACUUGACAGUGCUACUGCUUGGUGAUAGCUUUCUCUAAUGUAAGUGUGUAUAUAGAUAAAUGUAUAUUAAAGCCUGUGGCUUAAAUUCGUAUAAAUACUACCACCUUAUCAAAUGAAUACUGUCACAAUGAACAAAAGUCUGCAGGGAUGUCCAGUCUGUUUUCUGUAUACAUGGUUAUGGAUGGAUAAAAAAUACAUUUAAAAACGUCUGGCUUUUGACAUUUUAAAUGGUCGUUUGGAGGUUUGCUUUUUCCUUAUUUCCUCAGAAUCCUUUUUGUAAAAGUAGAGUGACUGGUGUGGCCACUCAACCACUAAACUGGAUCUGAUUGGUCUGUUUGCAGAACAUACUGCUGAUCUGAAAUGUUUUUUUUUUGCCUAAAGAAAAUUCCUAUAACUGCUGCGUUUCACACAGGCAGCCCAAUUCUGAGCGUUUUCCACUAAUUGUUCUUUUGACUAAUCACAUCAGAUAUUUUUCAGAUCUGAUUGGUCAAAAGACUUUGAAUAGAAUUCUAAAAGCAACCUAACAAACCUACAAUACAUGCAUGUUAUACAUACAUAGAUAUGAUUGUGAAAAUAAUUCAGUUGGUGCUGGUGGCUGCAAGCUGUUAUAUUAAGUCUGCCUGGAAAAGGGCAGGUUAUUGAUGUAUCUUUAAAUUGGCUAUCUUUUCUUAAACUACUGAAUCAGUAUAAACUGAAUUGAGUUGUAUUAAGUUAUUUGUUUAGAAAUGGCUGGUAAUGUUAUUUUAAAUAUUUUAUUUUCUCUGCCUUAAGAAUAAAUUGGUUUGAAAUGUUUCAUUUUAAAUAAAGGUUAAAUUUUAAAUGACGACCUGCCAACACUGAGGGCUUGUUUCAUAGAUGUUUGAAUAUAAAAUGUUUCUUUGUGGAGCAAAUUUUGUUUAGACAGAGGAAUAUUAAACAAAGUAUAGGAUAA
Molecule: RNA transcript, 5468 nt
Organism: Oncorhynchus kisutch (coho salmon)
Lineage: Eukaryota; Metazoa; Chordata; Actinopteri; Salmoniformes; Salmonidae
Gene name: protein CASC3
Exons: 13
Source: RefSeq, a predicted model, not a curated record